This is a long non-coding RNA of Branchiostoma floridae (Florida lancelet), 399 nucleotides long. RefSeq lists it as uncharacterized. The transcript is spliced from 3 exons. Lineage: Eukaryota; Metazoa; Chordata; Leptocardii; Amphioxiformes; Branchiostomatidae. The record is from RefSeq and is a predicted model, not a curated record.
CUAUGCUCUAACGUAUCAGCGAGAAUUAUUUGCUGUCAGAUCUAUGAUAAAGCUUGGAACUAUUUUCUUCCUGUGCAGAUUGUAAACAGGUUCCAAUGCCACAGGUGUGCCCACACCUGCCCAACGCCCCGGUGACACAAUGGACAUGUGAAAGGAAUCCUUCACAUCUUUCAACACAGCAUUUGUUCUCGGAAUAAGCUGGUGAGAUAUUGCCCUAUUUCGUGACAGAUGAAUGUUGAAGAACUCAACUGAACUUCAGGGUCUUGCUGACUUUCAUCCGCCGCUGUCUGGACUCCCAGGCUCGCUUCAGGAUGGACAGGUCGACUUUCGGGAGGCCCCUUCUACACUGCUCUCGUGCAGCAAGUGACCGCUCGGCUGUCAUAUGGACACCAAAUUUGA